GAUGAAGGAACGUAGCGAAAUGCGAUAAGUAAUGUGAAUUGCAGAAUUCAGUGAAUCAUCGAAUCUUUGAACGCACCUUGCGCCCUUUGGCUAUUCCGAAGGGCAUGCCUGUUUGAGUAUCAUGAACACCUCAACUCUCAUGGUUUGCCAUGAUGAGCUUGGACUCUGGGGGUCUUGCUGGCCUAUGGUCAGCUCCUCUCAAAUAAAUCAGCUUGCCAGUGUUUGGUGGCAUCACAGGUGUGAUAACUAUCUAUGCUUGUGGUUUUCCAUCAGGUAACCUUCAGUGAUGGAGGUUCGCUGGAGCUCAUAAAUGUCCCUCCUCAGCGAGGACAGCUUUUUGAACGUUUGAUCUCAAAUCAGGUAGGACUACCCGCUGAACUUAAGCAUAUCAAUAAGCGGAGGA
Molecule: unclassified non-coding RNA, 403 nt
Filed under: soil metagenome
Description: partial contains 5.8S ribosomal RNA, internal transcribed spacer 2, and large subunit ribosomal RNA
Rfam family: 5.8S ribosomal RNA (bases 1-122)
Source: RNAcentral